This is a non-coding RNA of Salmo salar (Atlantic salmon), 390 nucleotides long. NCBI's taxonomy places the organism in Eukaryota, Metazoa, Chordata, Actinopteri, Salmoniformes, Salmonidae. The record is from RefSeq and is a predicted model, not a curated record.
UUCACCAGCAACAGGUCUGGUUUGGGGUUUUCACCAGCAACAGGUCUGGUUUGGGGUUUUCACCAGCAACAGGUCUGGUUUGGGGUUUUCACCAGCAACAGGUCUGGUUUGGGGUUUUCACCAGCAACAGGUCUGGUUUGGGGUUUUCACCAGCAACAGGUCUGGUUUGGGGUUUUAACCAGCAACAGGUCUGGUUUGGGGUUUUCACCAGCAACAGGUCUGGUUUGGGGUUUUCACCAGCAACAGGUCUGGUUUGGGGUUUUCACCAGCAACAGGUCUGGUUUGGGGUUUUCACCAGCAACAGGUCUGGUUUGGGGUUUUCACCAGCAACAGGUCUGGUUUGGGGUUUUCACCAGCAACAGGUCUGGUUUGGGGUUUUCACCAGCAACA